GGGAAUGAGGAGGGGUGCGGCUCGGCUUCUUCGGGGCAGAGGGACUGGCGUAGGCAUUUUGCCAGAGACGGUGGAAAGUUGUACAGCGAUCAUCACAAGAGGGACUCUUGAAGGAUGGUUCGCAGAAGGGGAAAGAAAGGUGUUCCAAAGAGAGGUACCAUCGUGAACACAGAGCACAAAUGCCUCCUGAUCAUCAGGGUGUGAUCAGAAUUCACUGGCAAGUCUCCUUGGAUAUUUCUUCUGAACUGUGCUAUUUGAUUCGGCACCACCAGUGGAUGGGGAUAACCAUCUCUACUUCACAACCAAGGUGAGGCUUAAACACCUGAUAUUUCUGAGUAAUCAGUGUUGAGAUGAAGAACCCAGAUGAAGGUGUCUCUAUGCCCAAAUGCCUUCAGAUGUAGCUGUGAACCUGCCCAGGAUGUAUGUAUUCCAUGGAGGAAUUCAGGUGUCCCUGUGGGACACAACCUUCCCGUAAGACGGUCCUACUGUUUUUCAGGUGGUCCUAGGAACUGACUCGUGGCUCUGGAGGCCCACAGACAGAGCCCACCUUCUCUGCCACUUCCAGAGAAGUCUCCUGAGGCCGUUGCUAACCUCCACAUUACAAUGGUUCUGGAAUGCCAAACCCAUCUGUAUAGCUCCCCCUAGUGCCCACUCAGGAAAUCAUAUCCUUUGGAGUUAAUAAUAACAACAGCAACAAAAUCAAUAGCUAAAGUUUCUGAAUGCUAACUGAAGAAAUAUACGUAGAGCACUUAGAACUUUGCCUGGAAAAUAGAAAGUACUAUGUGUUAGCUUCAAUAAGAAUAAUAAUAAUUAAUUAUUAUUAUUAUUAUCACUAUGGUGAUGAUGUGCUAAGCAUUGAGCGAAGCAUAAUGGGCGUAAAUUGGUUUAACCCUUGUAACUGUAGGAUUUUUGCUUACAUCUCAUAUGUGUAAGAAGUGCUAGGGCUGGACCUCCCCCGCCAGCAUUUCUCCAAGGGUCGGGUUUGGUGGAAAUAUCCUUUCUCUGUUGCACAGAGCUGUUGUACCAGAAGGAGAAUAAUUGUUCCCCUUAGAUGAUGAUAAUACCCCCAUCUAUCCUUUGUUCAUCAAUUAUCAAUUUAUAAAGUGCUUUUGCAUGUUAUCAUUCAUCAAAUUCUCAUAACAUCCCUGUGAGGUAGUAUUUUAUCUCCUUUUUGGAAUCAUCCCCACUCAGCUUCCUAAGCCAUAUCUCCUGGGCCGCUUCCUACGUCACUGGCCACUUACUAGUUUUCUUUGGCUGGUUCCCUCUCCGUUCCCCAGUCUCUAAACAUAAGUGUUCAUUAGAAGGUCUAAUGCCUGGGUUCCACCUCCAGUGCUUCUGAUUUAAUUGAUUUCAUGGUAGGGUCUUGGCAGCAGCACAUUUAAAAAGCCCUUUAGGAGAUUAAACCUUUGUCAGAUGAGCCAUUUGCU
Long non-coding RNA from Phacochoerus africanus (Common warthog), 1427 nucleotides. RefSeq lists it as uncharacterized. The record is from RefSeq and is a predicted model, not a curated record. The transcript has 4 exons. NCBI's taxonomy places the organism in Eukaryota, Metazoa, Chordata, Mammalia, Artiodactyla, Suidae.